GAUGAAGAACGUAGCGAAAUGCGAUACUUGGUGUGAAUUGCAGAAUCCCGUGAACCAUCGAGUCUUUGAACGCAAGUUGUGCCCGAAGCCACUAGGCCGAGGGCACGCCUGCCUGGGUGUCACACGUCGUUGCCCCCCCCCCAUCUACUCCUUCGGGAUUGCGGGGGGCGGAUGAUGGCCUCCCGUGCGCCUAGCCCCGCGGUUGGCAUAAAUACCAAGUCCUCGGCGACGCACGCCACGACAAUCGGUGGUUGCGAAACCUCGGUUGCCCGUCGUGUGCGUUCGUCGCGCAUCGAGGGCUCGAAAAAAUGCUCGGCUCCGGCUCGGCUUUCAACGCGACCCCAGGUCAGGCGGGGUUACCCGCUGAAUUUAAGCAUAUCAAUAAGCGGAGGA
RNAcentral lists this unclassified non-coding RNA (393 nucleotides) under soil metagenome. RNAcentral describes it as "partial contains 5.8S ribosomal RNA, internal transcribed spacer 2, and large subunit ribosomal RNA". The stretch from base 1 to 122 matches the Rfam family "5.8S ribosomal RNA", at positions 35 to 154 of the family's 154-position model. The record is from RNAcentral.